UACAGAGGGGGCAAGCGUUAUUCGGAAUUAUUGGGCGUAAAGGGCGCGUAGGCGGCUUUGCAAGUGGCGGGUGAAAUCCCUCGGCUUAACCGAGGAACUGCCUGCCAGACUGUGAGGCUUGAGACCGGGAGAGGUGAGUGGAAUUCCCAGUGUAGCGGUGAAAAUGCGUAGAUAUUGGGAGGAACACCAGUGGCGAAGGCGGCUCACUGGACCGGAACUGACGCUGAGGCGGCGAAAGCGUGGGGGAGCAAACAGG
Molecule: ribosomal RNA, 256 nt
Filed under: uncultured bacterium
Lineage: Bacteria
Description: partial 16S ribosomal RNA
Rfam family: Bacterial small subunit ribosomal RNA
Source: RNAcentral